AGCGAACGCUGGCGGCAGGCUUAACACAUGCAAGUCGAACGCCCCGCAAGGGGAGUGGCAGACGGGUGAGUAACACGUGGGAACGUACCCUUUGGUUCGGAAUAACUUGGGGAAACUCAAGCUAAUACCGGAUAAGCCCUUAUGGGGAAAGGUUUACUGCCGAAGGAUCGGCCCGCGUCUGAUUAGCUAGUUGGUGGGGUAAUGGCUCACCAAGGCGACGAUCAGUAGCUGGUCUGAGAGGAUGAUCAGCCACACUGGGACUGAGACACGGCCCAGACUCCUACGGGAGGCAGCAGUGGGGAAUAUUGGACAAUGGGGGCAACCCUGAUCCAGCCAUGCCGCGUGAGCGAUGAAGGCCUUAGGGUUGUAAAGCUCUUUUACCCGGGACGAUAAUGACUGUACCGGGAGAAUAAGCCCCGGCUAACUUCGUGCCAGCAGCCGCUGUAA
This 447-nucleotide ribosomal RNA is filed under the name uncultured bacterium. RNAcentral describes it as "partial 16S ribosomal RNA". It matches the Rfam family "Bacterial small subunit ribosomal RNA", at positions 29 to 523 of the family's 1533-position model. The record is from RNAcentral.